This 522-nucleotide ribosomal RNA is filed under the name uncultured Paenibacillus sp. RNAcentral describes it as "partial 16S ribosomal RNA". Lineage: Bacteria; Bacillati; Bacillota; Bacilli; Caryophanales; Paenibacillaceae. The record is from RNAcentral.
CACGUAGUUAGCCGGGGCUUUCUUCUCAGGUACCGUCACUCCCCUAGCAGUUACUCUAGAGGACGUUCUUCCCUGGCAACAGAGCUUUACGAUCCGAAAACCUUCUUCACUCACGCGGCGUUGCUCCCGUCAGACUUUCGUCCAUUGCGGAAGAUUCCCUACUGCUGCCUCCCGUAGGAGUCUGGGCCGUGUCUCAGUCCCAGUGUGGCCGUUCACCCUCUCAGGUCGGCUACGCAUCGUCGCCUUGGUGAGCCGUUACCCCACCAACUAGCUAAUGCGCCGCAGGCCCAUCCGUAAGUGACAGAUUGCUCCGCCUUUCCCAAAUCCCCCAUGCGAGGAAUUUGCGUAUCCGGUAUUAGCUACCGUUUCCGGUAGUUAUCCCAGUCUUACGGGCAGGUUGCCUACGUGUUACUCACCCGUCCGCCGCUAACCAACAGGUUCCGAAGAACCUAUUAGUCCGCUCGACUUGCAUGUAUUAGGCACGCCGCCAGCGUCGUCCUCGUAGCCACGGAGUCAACGUAC